RNAcentral lists this non-coding RNA (28 nucleotides) under Homo sapiens (human). Lineage: Eukaryota; Metazoa; Chordata; Mammalia; Primates; Hominidae. The record is from RNAcentral.
GCCAGAGGGUAGUCUCGAUUCUUCUUCA